CUGCCCGGUGCUCGAAGGUUAAUUGAUGGGGUUAGCAUUAGCGAAGCUCUUGAUCGAAGCCCGAGUAAACGGCGGCCGUAACUAUAACGGUCCUAAGGUAGCGAAAUUCCUUGUCGGUUAAAUACCGACCUGCAUGAAUGGCGUAACGAGAUGGGAGCUGUCUCAAAGAGGGAUCCAGUGAAAUUGUAGUGGAGGUGAAAAUUCCUCCUACCCGCGGCAAGACGGAAAGACCCCGUGGACCUUUACUACAGCUUGACACUGCUACUUGGAUAAGAAUGUGCAGGAUAGGUGGGAGGCUUUGAGUAUAUGACGCCAGUUGUAUAUGAGCCAUUGUUGAGAUACCACUCUUUCUUAUUUGGGUAGCUAACCAGCUUGAGUUAUCCUCAAGUGGGACAAUGUCUGGUGGGUAGUUUGACUGGGGCGGUCGCCUCCCAAAUAAUAACGGAGGCUUACAAAGGUU
RNAcentral lists this ribosomal RNA (460 nucleotides) under Campylobacter coli. Its description in RNAcentral is "bacterial LSU rRNA". It matches the Rfam family "Bacterial large subunit ribosomal RNA", at positions 1859 to 2318 of the family's 2925-position model. The record is from RNAcentral. Lineage: Bacteria; Pseudomonadati; Campylobacterota; Epsilonproteobacteria; Campylobacterales; Campylobacteraceae.